RNAcentral lists this ribosomal RNA (117 nucleotides) under Clostridium taeniosporum. Lineage: Bacteria; Bacillati; Bacillota; Clostridia; Eubacteriales; Clostridiaceae. The record is from RNAcentral.
UCUGGUGAUGACGGCGUAGAGGUAACACUCCUUUCCAUUCCGAACAGGACAGUUAAGGUCUACAGCGCUGAUAGUACUGCACGGGAGACUGUGUGGGAGGAUAAGACGUUGCCAGGU